AGAGAACCUUUGAAAAAUUGAAAUUAGAGAGAGGACCUGAUGCACCGAAACACAGUUUCAUUCAGCAGUACUCAACCAUGCAAAUGACAAAUUUAUCCUUUAUGAUAUUAACAAUAGUUGGGCCCACCGUGUGUCAAAGUGUAAAUUACUUUAACCGUUGUUUCCCUUUCUGAAACUGAGUCAGCUGAUACUUCAUGAUGUCCGCGGAAACGUUAGCAUAUCGGAACGGCGUUGUAAAAGUGAACGCCGAUAGCCAAUUUCUCAUCCUUCGCCACCGCCAAUGUAAAAGUGCGGGAGAGAGAGCGCCGGCGACGGAAGAAGAAGAAAUACAAUAUCAAGGCCUGAAGGAGCAUGGCCAAAGACGGUGGCAACGGGAAGCGGAAUACCUAUCCGCAGCAGGUUGUAUACCAAGUUGAAAUUCAGGACAGGGAAGAGCCAAAUGAUAUAGCUUGGAGGAAGAAAUCUUAAAAAAUGUUCGGGAACAUUAGUUUUCGCGAUAUUAUAUGUUCAGAGUAUAUUGAUAAGAAGCACGAGUCUAUUCAAAAUGCAACUACCAAUAAGAAAGCAGACUCUGAUUCUGAAGAGGAAGGAAGAGAUCUUGAGAAAAACGACAGGCAUCUCAAACAAGAAGAGAGGGUAUAGUGAUUUGUAGCAUAUUUAUUUAUUUGUUUUGUUUGUUUAAUUUGACCACUAGAUUUCUCUCCAUAAUUUGCUAAAAGUUUAAUUUUUGUGUUAAACUUCAAUGCCAGAUAGAGAUUACUGAACUGAAACAGGUUUUCUCCUGACCUGAUGUUCUUGAGGUUGGAAUACACUGUUUAGUAUACUUGGUUUUGAACAUUUGUGCCUUCACUCCAAACUUUCUACUUUGGCCCUAUGCUAUUAUGCAAACGCUUGUAACACUAUUUUUUCAAUUUUAAGGUGUGGGUGGGAUACCAUUGUAGCAGAUCCAAAGUUAUUGGUUUUCUUGAAAUCUUUUCCAAAUACUCUACCUGUAUGUAGGCAUUGCUGCCAAAAGAGAAAAUUUUGGCUGGUUUUCUUCUGUUUUCUCAUGCACGCUUAUAUUGAGAAGGAAGAGAGUAAAAUGUUGAAACAUAAGCAAAAGGAAUGCAUGCAACCAAAAAUGCAGUAAAUGGAAUUUGAUUAUCAGUUGUAUUGUUAACACUGGCACCUGGGAGAAGUCAGGGUCAAAAGGGUUGAUUUACUUAAGUUCUAAAGUCAGAUAAAGUGGAUGUCACUUUACUCCCAGAAGAGUUGGAUGACAUGGAAAAUGUUUUACACACAAAGUAUGAAAAUGCUAGGGAGGAAGAGAAGUUACGAAGGAAGCCUGAGGAUUUCAUCGACGUGGUUGCCGAGCUGUUACAUUUGAUUUUCAUAUCAUACAAACCUACCAUAUUGUCAUUAUUAUUAAUAACUUAGACCUUGAUUUUUAUAUUUAAUUAUGUAAACAAGCGGUGCAGAAUGAGAAUAGGACUAGAAGAGAAAGAUGCAAGAAAAAGGAGGGAAAGUCCAGGAAGACAUUAAGUUCUAAAGUUGGUGUAACAUCUUUUUUCUUUUGCAGAAAAAAAAUGGGGGACCUGGAUGUUACACACUCAUCAAAUUGUCAUUUUCCAUUUAGCGAGGAUUAGUUGUUAGCUGUGUUGUAUGGUACUUCUAUCACAUGUAAUUGUCAGCAAGUAGCUUUCAUUGUAUAAGUUAGGAAUUUAUAUAUCGUAUAAUUAACAUCUUAUGCAGCGCUGAUGUUUAUUUGGAAACACAAUUGCAAUUAAUCAUUAUUAAGGUUGGUUGGUAUUCUGUUU
Vigna angularis (adzuki bean) is the source of this 1796-nucleotide long non-coding RNA. RefSeq lists it as uncharacterized. The record is from RefSeq and is a predicted model, not a curated record. NCBI's taxonomy places the organism in Eukaryota, Viridiplantae, Streptophyta, Magnoliopsida, Fabales, Fabaceae. The transcript has 7 exons.